Molecule: small nucleolar RNA, 130 nt
Filed under: Fukomys damarensis (Damara mole-rat)
Lineage: Eukaryota; Metazoa; Chordata; Mammalia; Rodentia; Bathyergidae
Source: RNAcentral
CUCUUUUUAGAAGCACUCGUGGGCCUUUCAGUAGUGCCCCACUAAGCCAUCAAGAAAGGGCAGAGUGAAAAUGUCACUUUUAGGUGAAAGCAUGUUGUGUUGUUUUGCUCUCAUUGGUGGUAUGAUAGGU